GGCGGAGUGGCAUGGUCGCAGGUCUGAACGUCGAAGAAACUGAUGCACGGGCAUCACCAGGUGUGGAGUAC
This 71-nucleotide ribosomal RNA is filed under the name Azadinium spinosum. RNAcentral describes it as "partial Eukaryotic small subunit ribosomal RNA". The record is from RNAcentral. Lineage: Eukaryota; Dinophyceae; Gonyaulacales; Amphidomataceae.